RNAcentral lists this ribosomal RNA (720 nucleotides) under Bacillus thuringiensis serovar coreanensis. RNAcentral's name for it is "bacterial LSU rRNA". It matches the Rfam family "Bacterial large subunit ribosomal RNA", at positions 2210 to 2925 of the family's 2925-position model. The record is from RNAcentral. Lineage: Bacteria; Bacillati; Bacillota; Bacilli; Caryophanales; Bacillaceae.
UGUAUUGAAAUUCUAACCUACGGGUCUUAUCGACCCGGGAGACAGUGUCAGGUGGGCAGUUUGACUGGGGCGGUCGCCUCCUAAAGUGUAACGGAGGCGCCCAAAGGUUCCCUCAGAAUGGUUGGAAAUCAUUCGUAGAGUGCAAAGGCAUAAGGGAGCUUGACUGCGAGACCUACAAGUCGAGCAGGGACGAAAGUCGGGCUUAGUGAUCCGGUGGUUCCGCAUGGAAGGGCCAUCGCUCAACGGAUAAAAGCUACCCCGGGGAUAACAGGCUUAUCUCCCCCAAGAGUCCACAUCGACGGGGAGGUUUGGCACCUCGAUGUCGGCUCAUCGCAUCCUGGGGCUGUAGUCGGUCCCAAGGGUUGGGCUGUUCGCCCAUUAAAGCGGUACGCGAGCUGGGUUCAGAACGUCGUGAGACAGUUCGGUCCCUAUCCGUCGUGGGCGUAGGAAAUUUGAGAGGAGCUGUCCUUAGUACGAGAGGACCGGGAUGGACGCACCGCUGGUGUACCAGUUGUUCUGCCAAGGGCAUAGCUGGGUAGCUAUGUGCGGAAGGGAUAAGUGCUGAAAGCAUCUAAGCAUGAAGCCCCCCUCAAGAUGAGAUUUCCCAUAGCGUAAGCUAGUAAGAUCCCUGAAAGAUGAUCAGGUUGAUAGGUUCGAGGUGGAAGCAUGGUGACAUGUGGAGCUGACGAAUACUAAUAGAUCGAGGACUUAACCAUAUAA